This 66-nucleotide transfer RNA is filed under the name Xenagama taylori. RNAcentral's name for it is "tRNA-Thr". It matches the Rfam family "tRNA". Rfam says of the family: Transfer RNA (tRNA) molecules are approximately 80 nucleotides in length. The record is from RNAcentral. Lineage: Eukaryota; Metazoa; Chordata; Lepidosauria; Squamata; Agamidae.
GCCCAAGGUAGCUUAACAUUAAAGCAUUAGUUUUGUAAACUAAAAAUGGGAUAUACCCCCUGAGCU